RNAcentral lists this ribosomal RNA (253 nucleotides) under uncultured bacterium. RNAcentral describes it as "partial 16S ribosomal RNA". It matches the Rfam family "Bacterial small subunit ribosomal RNA", at positions 524 to 776 of the family's 1533-position model. The record is from RNAcentral.
UACGGGGGGGGCAAGCGUUGCUCGGAAUUACUGGGCGUAAAGGGCGCGUAGGCGGCCUUCUAAGUCGGACGUGAAAUCCCUCGGCUCAACCGAGGAACUGCGUCUGAUACUGGAAGGCUUGAAUCCGGGAGAGGGAUGCGGAAUUCCAGGUGUAGCGGUGAAAUGCGUAGAUAUCUGGAGGGACACCGGUGGCGAAGGCGGCAUCCUGGACCGGCAUUGACGCUGAGGCGCGAAAGCCAGGGGAGCAAACGGG